Molecule: ribosomal RNA, 495 nt
Filed under: uncultured bacterium
Lineage: Bacteria
Description: partial 16S ribosomal RNA
Rfam family: Bacterial small subunit ribosomal RNA
Source: RNAcentral
GACGAACGCUGGCGGCGUGCCUAAUACAUGCAAGUAGAACGCUGAAGGAGGAGCUUGCUCUUCUGGAUGAGUUGCGAACGGGUGAGUAACGCGUAGGUAACCUGCCUGGUAGCGGGGGAUAACUAUUGGAAACGAUAGCUAAUACCGCAUAACAGUAGAUGUUGCAUGACAUUUACUUAAAAGGUGCAAUUGCAUCACUACCAGAUGGACCUGCGUUGUAUUAGCUAGUUGGUGGGGUAACGGCUCACCAAGGCGACGAUACAUAGCCGACCUGAGAGGGUGAUCGGCCACACUGGGACUGAGACACGGCCCAGACUCCUACGGGAGGCAGCAGUAGGGAAUCUUCGGCAAUGGACGGAAGUCUGACCGAGCAACGCCGCGUGAGUGAAGAAGGUUUUCGGAUCGUAAAGCUCUGUUGUAAGAGAAGUACGAGUGUGAGAGUGGAAAGUUCACACUGUGACGGUAUCUUACCAGAAAGGGACGGCUAACUACGUG